AGUGUGUUUAAUCUUCUGCUUGGUGUCAUGGUUCAGGUUAGGGUUAGGGUUUAAGGUCAGAGAAAAACUCCCUGAACCAAACAGUGAGAUGGUCCAGCCUCCUGAUUGGUCCCAGCCUGGUCCAGCCUCCUGAUUGGUCCCAGCCUGGUCCAGCCUCCUGAUUGGUCCCAGCCUGGUCCAGCCUCCUGAUUGGUUCCAGUCUGGUCCAGCCUCCUGAUUGGUCCCAGCCUGGUCCAGCCUCCUGAUUGGUCCCAGCCUGGUCCAGCCUCCUGAUUGGUCCCAGUCAGGUCCAGCCUCCUGAUUGGUCCCAGCCUGGUCCAGCCUCCUGAUUGGUCCCAGCCUGGUCCAGCCUCCUGAUUGGUCCCAGCCUGGUCCAGCCUCCUGAUUGGUCCCAGCCUGGUCCAGCCUCCUGAUUGGUCCCAGCCUGGUCCAGCCUCCUGAUUGGUCCCAGUCUGGUCCAGCCUUCUUGUCCACUAAACAGGUGCACAUGAUGGUUUUAUCAGUCCUUAAUAACGGUGAAAUUCAGCUUCUUCCUUCUGGACAGAGAUUUUUAGAUC
Molecule: long non-coding RNA, 557 nt
Organism: Acanthochromis polyacanthus (spiny chromis)
Lineage: Eukaryota; Metazoa; Chordata; Actinopteri; Pomacentridae
Exons: 3
Source: RefSeq, a predicted model, not a curated record